GUCUUCAUACAUUAGGACUUUACUGAUGUAAGGCUGUAUUAUCUGCUCAAAUUCUUCGCUCUGUCCGCUCACAGCAAACUGCUGCAGCAUUAGCGCCUCUUCCUCUGCCUGCAGCAUUCGUGCCAAUUCCUCAUCCGAUACCAACGAAUUGGCAUUGUCCUGUGCUACAGAGCCAUUACUAGUGGUGGAUUCCUCUUCAUCGAUUGAUACCAAUCGGCUCUCGUCCUUUUCAUCGAUUGAUACCAAUUUGAGCUGGUUAGAAAUGGAGAAGAGAUCAGAGUCGUCUGAUACAACACGAUCAUCAUCUCCUCCAAUGAUCUUCUGGUCAUCGGGAGGAAUUGAAGUGAGGGAGAAAAGCUGGAAUUUGAAAACUUCGAAGCCGUCGUCGGUGUCGUAGUCGACGUCGAAGGUGGAGUCGCUGUAGCGAACGACGAA
RNAcentral lists this unclassified non-coding RNA (435 nucleotides) under Hevea brasiliensis (rubber tree). Lineage: Eukaryota; Viridiplantae; Streptophyta; Magnoliopsida; Malpighiales; Euphorbiaceae. The record is from RNAcentral.